UGGGGAAUUUUGGACAAUGGGGGCAACCCUGAUCCAGCCAUCCCGCGUGUGCGAUGAAGGCCUUCGGGUUGUAAAGCACUUUUGGCAGGGAAGAAACAGCCUGGGAUAAUACCCCGGGCGACUGACGGUACCUGCAGAAUAAGCACCGGCUAACUACGUGCCAGCAGCCGCGGUAAUACGUAGGGUGCAAGCGUUAAUCGGAAUUACUGGGCGUAAAGCGUGCGCAGGCGGUUCGGAAAGAAAGGUGUGAAAUCCCAGGGCUUAACCUUGGAACUGCACUUUUAACUACCGAGCUAGAGUACGUCAGAGGGGGGUAGAAUUCCACGUGUAGCAGUGAAAUGCGUAGAGAUGUGGAGGAAUACCGAUGGCGAAGGCAGCCCCUGGGAUGAUACUGACGCUCAUGCACGAAAGCGUGGGGAGCAAACAGGAUUAGAUACCCUGGUAGUCCACGCCCUAAACGAUGUCAACUAGCUGUUGGGGUUUAUUAACCUUAGUAGCGCAGCUAACGCGUGAAGUUGACCGCCUGGGGAGUACGGUCGCAAGAUUAAAACUUAAAUGAAUUGACGGGGGUCAUAGCUGUUUUCCUG
Molecule: ribosomal RNA, 587 nt
Filed under: uncultured bacterium
Lineage: Bacteria
Description: partial 16S ribosomal RNA
Rfam family: Bacterial small subunit ribosomal RNA
Source: RNAcentral